RNAcentral lists this ribosomal RNA (411 nucleotides) under uncultured bacterium. Its description in RNAcentral is "bacterial SSU rRNA". It matches the Rfam family "Bacterial small subunit ribosomal RNA", at positions 28 to 436 of the family's 1533-position model. The record is from RNAcentral.
GAUGAGCGCUGGCGGCGUGCUUAACACAUGCAAGUCGAACGGGAUCCAUCAGGCUUUGCUUGGUGGUGAGAGUGGCGAACGGGUGAGUAAUGCGUGACCGACCUGCCCCAUACACCGGAAUAGCUCCUGGAAACGGGUGGUAAUGCCGGAUGCUCCGACUCCUCGCAUGGGGUGUCGGGAAAGAUUUCAUCGGUAUGGGAUGGGGUCGCGUCCUAUCAGGUAGUCGGCGGGGUAACGGCCCACCGAGCCUACGACGGGUAGCCGGCCUGAGAGGGCGACCGGCCACAUUGGGACUGAGAUACGGCCCAGACUCCUACGGGAGGCAGCAGUGGGGAAUAUUGCACAAUGGGCGCAAGCCUGAUGCAGCGACGCCGCGUGCGGGAUGACGGCCUUCGGGUUGUAAACCGCUUU